Molecule: long non-coding RNA, 809 nt
Filed under: Cricetulus griseus (Chinese hamster)
Lineage: Eukaryota; Metazoa; Chordata; Mammalia; Rodentia; Cricetidae
Description: lncRNA (ENSCGRG00015041603.1)
Source: RNAcentral
AAGGUAUGGCAGAAGUAAAGGAUAUCCUAAAGUAUGUUUGGUACUUCGGAGAUACUUUGCUAAGGUUCACAUGUUUUCUUGACUACUAUGGAAACAUACAAAGAAACACAAAGUGGCCUGAAUGUUUCACUGUCUGAGGGAGUGCAUCGGUCUCUCAGGAACAGGAAGGCACAUUGUGGCCCACGAGCUAUGGGCUCUCCUCUGGAAACUUAUGACAACUGCCUCUCAAAGCAUGCAGACCAGGCCAACUCGAUGGUUCCGUGAAACACGGGAGCAUGGUCAUUAGCUAAGAGCAAAGUGGAGGAGGGGUAACAAGAGCUUUGAGAAGACUCGAGUUCUCAAAUAAUGUCCUGGAAAAAUGUGAUGGUUUCUCUUAAUAGUCAACUUAAUGGAAUUUAGAAUUACCAAGGAAACAAACCUCUGAACAUGUGUGUGAGGGACUUUCUAAAUGAGAAUAAUUAAGAUGGGAGACCCAUCAUAACUGGAUGAUACCAUUUCAUGAAAAAGGGUAGUCUGAGGUCUUAGAAUGAAUUAAAAGGAAUUCAUUCCUUUGCCUUAACAAUGAAAAUGUAAUGAAUGAAGAAAGUGAAUGAAGGGACAGACAAGUAAACUGGAGUAUGAAUUCCUUGUGAGUGUGCAGUAUAAGCUCUUAGAGUUCAUGUUCAUGAAUUUAAGCUGGAUUCAACAGCACUGGAUUCAACUACACUGCUUUUCUUCAGAUACAUCCUGCAGCAUUGUAAGUAUAGAACAGAAGGCUUACAUAGCAGGCUGGCAGAGAAGAGUCUGGCUCUCCGGAGACAACAUAAAGU